This 232-nucleotide long non-coding RNA is filed under the name Mytilus galloprovincialis (Mediterranean mussel). Lineage: Eukaryota; Metazoa; Mollusca; Bivalvia; Mytilida; Mytilidae. The record is from RNAcentral.
AUAGUUGUCUCAUUGGCAAUCAUACCACAUCUUCUUUUUUAUAUACCAGACCCCUCACACACAAUUAGUAUCAAGACAGAAACUUGGUCAAUUUGAAUGACCAUUUCCUUCUUUACUUCCUUGCCAUUACUCAAUCUAGUUUUUUAUCUUUUUUCCCAAUAAUCUACCAAAUUAUCUUUGUCUGAAAGCAAUAACAAGUGAAACAAAAACAAUAAUGAAAGCCAUUCAAUUU